This 563-nucleotide ribosomal RNA is filed under the name Crenosoma vulpis. RNAcentral's name for it is "SSU rRNA". It matches the Rfam family "Eukaryotic small subunit ribosomal RNA", at positions 1051 to 1643 of the family's 1831-position model. Lineage: Eukaryota; Metazoa; Nematoda; Chromadorea; Rhabditida; Crenosomatidae. The record is from RNAcentral.
GAUCCGAUGGGGUAUUGUUGCCUUGUCGAGGAGCUUCCCGGAAACGAAAGUCUUUCGGUUCCUGGGGUAGUAUGGUUGCAAAGCUGAAACUUAAAGAAAUUGACGGAAUGGCACCACCAGGAGUGGAGCCUGCGGCUUAAUUUGACUCAACACGGGAAAACUCACCCGGCCCGGACACCGUAAGGAUUGACAGAUUGAAAGCUCUUUCUCGAUUUGGUGGUUGGUGGUGCAUGGCCGUUCUUAGUUGGUGGAGCGAUUUGUCUGGUUUAUUCCGAUAACGAGCGAGACUCUAGCCUGCUAAAUAGUGACUAGAUUUUUAUGUCUAGUCUACUUCUUAGAGGGAUAAGCGGUGUUUAGCCGCACGAGAUUGAGCGAUAACAGGUCUGUGAUGCCCUUAGAUGUCCGGGGCUGCACGCGCGCUACAAUGGAAGAAUCAGCUGGCCUAUCCAUUGCCGAAAGGUAUUGGUAAACCGUUGAAACUCUUCCGUGACCGGGAUAGGGAAUUGUAACUAUUUCCCUUGAACGAGGAAUUCCUAGUAAGUGUGAGUCAUCAGCUCACGCUG